Molecule: long non-coding RNA, 1332 nt
Filed under: Homo sapiens (human)
Lineage: Eukaryota; Metazoa; Chordata; Mammalia; Primates; Hominidae
Description: non-protein coding lnc-PQLC1-16:3
Source: RNAcentral
AACCGGCUCGCGGCCGCCGGCUUCCGAGUUUUAAAUAAACUCCCCGGACACGAGUUUUUAAAUAAACUCGUGUCCCCCCCGCCCCCGCCCCCUCGCGCGCGCGCGACCGCAGGGGUCCCCCGGCCUCUUGUGCCCUGGGGGUCCCGGCCCGGCGCAGGCUCCUCCGGACCCGGGGGUAGGGGCGUCGGGACCCCACGAGCGGCACCAGGUACCUAAGGCUGCGCCCAGGGCGACGGAAUUUUUUUUUUAAGUUUUUUUUUUAAAGAAGUUUUCAAUCCGGGCCUCCUCGGGAAAGCGGCUGCAACGGUGACCCCCGAGCGCCACGCCUGUACUUCUCUGCGUUCUCCAUGAGGAAGCAAGCCCGGGGCCUUCAGGAACCACGACGCCUAAUGAGCUUCCACCCAGAUGGUCCCGAAACCCGAGGGACGCAGGGGAGGCGCCCAGGUCCUCAGAUGGGCCAGGAAUGGCCUCGUGGGGCCUACUCAGAAGGACUCAGAGUUCUUCCCGGUGGUCUCAGCGAUGGCUGGUGUGGAAACCACGCGUGUCCCCAUGCUGCCGGCCUGUGUGUAUCAAGGACUAGAUCACACUUUCCGGCUGGCCCAGUUCUGCAGCCCUCAUAAAAUACACCCAUGUCGGUCGGGCGUCGCUGCCCGGCGCACUGCCUUGCAGCAGGGACCUUUUCGAGCUUAUUUUCUUCAGUAGGAAACACGAAAACUAGCCACUGCCCCGUCGUGUUUUUUCCUUGCGUAAAAGAAAGGGGCUCCUUACUACAGGUCGGCCACCGGCUCUUCAGGUACAGAGAUCUGAACUUGGAAAGACCUGCCUUUCUAAAGGGAGUGAUAAUGAACACUGCGGCGUAAGUGUCCCAGGAUUUAAAACCGAAACUCCAACAAAAAAAAAUUUUUUAAACUCUGCUACUAGCAAGAGCACAUUGUGUAAAACACUGACACGGGACAUGGUUUAAACAUGUCAACAUUUUCUAACAUUGGGAUGAAGUGGUGUCUACCUCCCGUCCCGUGAAGCGUCAGGGCACCGACCACACGGACCCCCCUCCGUGGAGCUCACGGCCCUGUGCUCAGCUCUGCUAAGACCAGCGAGUUUUCCAGAGCUGGGGGAGCCCGGUUCUCAAGCAAGCCCCGCAGUUAUCAGGGUCGCGCAGGAAGCGGCAGCGCUCGGAAGGACGUCUGCCCUUAUGAAGUACAUAUGUUGGCAGGUGUGCUGGCGCUCUUUAAAUAAAUUAUAUAAAAUAUUUCAGAGCUGGUAAGGAAUUUGGAAAAGCGUCUUCCAAUUUCCAUUAGCAUUGCAAUCCCUAAUCCCUAACUCGUAUGCUCA